Molecule: long non-coding RNA, 840 nt
Organism: Alligator sinensis (Chinese alligator)
Lineage: Eukaryota; Metazoa; Chordata; Crocodylia; Alligatoridae
Exons: 3
Source: RefSeq, a predicted model, not a curated record
GUUCUGCAACAUGAAGCACACAGCUGCCCAGCAUGUUUCUGUGGGAAUUACUGAAGAAGAAUUUGAGGAAGGCACAAGAAAUGUGUCAUGCUAUCUGUCUGGAACCCUCUUAGCCUGCAAUACUGACAUUGCCGUUUGCUGUAUACUAGGAUUUUCUCUUGCUGUCCAGGGCCUACACGCACAGGGAAGAAGGAAGAACCAAGGGCUUGGUGAACUCAUUCAGCACAAAAAUUUGGCAUAUGUACACGGCACAAAAUCACUCCUGUGCCUCACAAAUGUCCCAUGUGUAAUGGACUGUGUAAGUUAACUGUAAUGCACUGCACCGUAGAUAUGCGACAGCAGGGGGAGCAACCCUGCUAACUGAAUAUGAACUGCAAAACUGUACUAACUGCAUAUAACUACAACUCCUAGAGACUCUGGGGGCUGGGAGACAAAAGACAGAGGAAGCAGGAAGCAGGAGCAGAACUGAGAAGCAGCAGCAGAGCACAGCUGCAGAGGACAGGGGAAACAUGGGGUCAGAGACUCCAGAGGAGUGAUGGAGCCGGGACUCUUGCAGGACAUGGACAUGUGGACAGCAGUUGAGUGCUCUCAGGACUAGAGGCUGGUUUGGGACACCUCUGGAGGUGUGGGAGGGUACAAGGGUCUUUGAGUGUCUGUACCUUGGUACUACUGUGUGUUGUUACCUGUUCUUGAGUGAAUACACCACAGCGUUACUGUUUGUUAUCUGUUAUUCUGUUUCUAGGUAUAUGUACUUUAAUGUUAAUAUUUAUCUACUUGUAUUUGUUAAUUUCUCCCUAGCCUGUUGGCUUGUGACCCUAAUCCCUAACAUUUUCUGCAUAA